Molecule: ribosomal RNA, 253 nt
Filed under: uncultured bacterium
Lineage: Bacteria
Description: partial 16S ribosomal RNA
Rfam family: Bacterial small subunit ribosomal RNA
Source: RNAcentral
GACAGAGGGGCCAAGCGUUAGGCGGAAUCACUGGGCUUAAAGCGUGUGUAGGCGGGUGCCUAAGUACCUUGUGAAAUCCCCCGGCUCAACCGGGGAACUGCUGGGUAUACUGGGUGCCUUGGGUCAUCUAGGGGCUGCCGGAACAAAUGGUGGAGCGGUGAAAUGCGUAGAUAUCAUUUGGAACGCCAACGGCGAAAGCAGGCAGCUGGGGAUGCACCGACGCUGAGACACGAAAGCCAGGGGAGCGAACGGG